CGCGUAGGAACCUGCCUGAUAGAGGGGGAUAGCCCAGAGAAAUUUGGAUUAAUACCGCAUAAUGUCUACGGACCAAAGCAGGGGAUCUUCGGACCUUGCACUAUCAGAUGGGCCUGCGUGAGAUUAGCUAGUUGGUGAGGUAAUGGCUCACCAAGGCGACGAUCUCUAGCUGGUUUGAGAGGAUGAUCAGCCACACUGGAACUGAGACACGGUCCAGACUCCUACGGGAGGCAGCAGUGGGGAAUAUUGGACAAUGGGCGCAAGCCUGAUCCAGCCAUGCCGCGUGUGUGAAGAAGGCUC
This 300-nucleotide ribosomal RNA is filed under the name uncultured Oceanospirillaceae bacterium. RNAcentral describes it as "bacterial SSU rRNA". It matches the Rfam family "Bacterial small subunit ribosomal RNA", at positions 114 to 417 of the family's 1533-position model. Lineage: Bacteria; Pseudomonadati; Pseudomonadota; Gammaproteobacteria; Oceanospirillales; Oceanospirillaceae. The record is from RNAcentral.